GUGAGAGGACUUGUUGAAUUUUAUAAAAAGGAAAAGGAUUUUCUAGGAAGAAAAGAAAAAGUAAUUUAAAUUGAAUUUUAAAAAAAGGCUAAAGUGUAGAGUAUUGAGAAAGAAAGUUGAAAGAAGGGGAAUAAAAGUAGGAAGAAAGAAGAGAUAAAAAUUUGUACCUUGUGUAUUAGGGUUAAUCUAGAUUAUCCUUUUAUUUAUGGGAAUCCCGAAAAAAAAAGAGCUAAGGUAAGAAGAAAGUUUUUGUGUUAAAAAAAUUUAGAAUCUUAUUUUUGUAGUGAAAUAUUAGUCGUGUUUUUAUAUCUGGUUUUUUCUGAAAAAAAUUUAAUUUUUUUUUUACUUUGAGAGAAGUAGAAGAAAAGGGUAGGAGGGAAGAGCUUCUUAUCCAAGAAAUGUGUUAAAUAUAAGGAAAUGGAAGGUUUUAGUUAAUUUGAUUAGGCUUAAAAGUGGCCAUAUUGAGAAAGUGUUUAAACUGAUUUUUUUGGUUUAUUAAAAUUUAUGUUUUGUUUGUUUUUAGUAGGAAGAAGAUUUAAUAAAUGGAAGAUUAUUUGUUAAAAUGAUUAAAUUAGUAUAAUUUAUUGUAUUUUGAAAUUAAUUGAAUUUAGAAAAGAGAAGUGAUAAGGAAAAGAAUGGGGGAUUAUUUAGAGGAAUUCGGCAAAAGAAAUCUUCUGCCUGUUUAUCAAAAACAUGUCUCUGUGUGUGGUUUAUAGAGUCUGGCCUGCCCACUGAUUGAAGAAAGAUUAAAGGGCCGCGGUAUAUUGACCGUGCGAAGGUAGCAUAAUCAUUAGUCUUUUAAUUGAAGGCUGGAAUGAAUGGUUUCACAAGAAGUUUACUGUCUUUAAAUUAAGAUUUGAAUUUUACUUUUAAGUGAAAAGGCUUAAAUGUUUUAGGGGGACGAUAAGACCCUAUAAAACUUUACAUAGGAAAAUUAUUUUAAAAAUUGUGUUGUUUAAGGUUAAGAGAGUUCAAAUGUGUUUUGUUGGGGAGACAAGAAUAUAAAAUGAUUAGUAACUGUUCGAAAAUUAGGAGUCAGAUUAUUAUUGAGAAAAAGAAGUGGUCCUUGGAAAAGAUUAAAAGAGUAAGUUACUUUAGGGAUAACAGCGUUAUUUUUUUGGAGAGUUCUUAUCAAUAGAAAAGAUUGCGACCUCGAUGUUGAAUUAAAAUUUCUUUAUAAUGCAGUUGUUAUAAAAGAAAGUCUGUUCGACUUUUAAAAUUUUACAUGAUUUGAGUUCAAACCGGCGUGAGCCAGGUUGGUUUCUAUCUCUUAAAAAAAAAAUAAUCGCUUUAGUACGAGAGGACCAAGUGGUUUAAAUAAUUUGUGGAAUUAGAAUAAAAUU
Molecule: ribosomal RNA, 1343 nt
Filed under: Pentacheles laevis
Lineage: Eukaryota; Metazoa; Arthropoda; Malacostraca; Decapoda; Polychelidae
Description: 16S ribosomal RNA
Rfam family: Archaeal large subunit ribosomal RNA (bases 631-1343)
Source: RNAcentral